Chrysemys picta bellii (western painted turtle) is the source of this 1666-nucleotide long non-coding RNA. The record is from Ensembl. NCBI's taxonomy places the organism in Eukaryota, Metazoa, Chordata, Testudines, Emydidae.
AUGUACUGUGCUCUUGAGGGAAAAAACACUAUCUCUAGGCUUGUCCUAUACUAUACUUUGGUUGUAGACUUAAAGGUUUACAAUAUGGAUGAAUUUUACAAGAUCUCGUCCACUGAGAGAGUCCAGCAGUUGGAAAAAGAACUAGCUGUUCAACUGGCAGAGCUGAAGACAGAAAUAGAAGACAAUGGGGUACUGCAGGGAACACCAGAUAGAGCUUACAGCUCUGUUCCGAUACCAAAGGACGCUUCGUAUUUCAGAAAAGAAAGGGAGGUGAUACUGAAGAAAGUUUUACAGGUAGCAGAGGCAAAACCUCUUGUUGUUCAGGCUGCUGUCAUGCAGAGGGAGCUAGAGAGCUGUCUGAGAAGAGAGUAUACAGCAGAAAGCUUACCUCUGUUACUGCACCAGUUUUUUACAGACAGAAUUACCCAUCUGGUCCAGAGUAAAUACUUACACAUGCUUAGAUGGAAGAGAUUUUGUAGGCACAGCAGUGUUAUUGAACAGCUUUAUCCCCUCUAUCAGAAACAAAUUGGUCACAUUAUGCAGGAGUACAACGAUGCUGUUCAGAGGGCUGCGAGACUGUCGGCUGCACGACAGAACUUCCUGACAGGAAAGAAAAAUUCUGUAACUAUAGUGACACAGGAAGACCUGGUUAUUUACAUGCAGUGGUUAGUGUGUCACCUACACUCUCUCAAGGCCAUUCACAGCUAUCUUAGGGUACUCCAGUAUUUGCCUAUCUCUCACAGAAUGGAGGUGGUUAUUGAGAAACACCCUGAGGUGGCCCAGGAUAAUGGGGACAAAUUCAGAAGUGCCACUAUGUCUGAAUCCUUAUCCUCUAAUAUUCACUUCUCCCUUUGCCCCAGCAUUUCAGGAAGAGAGGGACCACACAGCAAGGAUGCUGUAUUCACGCUGCCCCAACACACAACAGAGACUGAAGAAUUGAAACCUCAGCUCCGACUUUUGCUUUCUCACUUUGGUGUCUGCUGUGAUACGGAGAAUCUCAAGAACUCUGCUAAUGAGAUGGAGCUUUUUUCCCUGGUCAUCCGGAAAUUUCGAAGUGUCUUCAGCAAACAGCAGACAAUGAGAACCUUUCCAGUGUAUGAUGCAGGGGUGCCUGGGGCAGAAAACUGGGGUAUUUUAGGACCUAGCAUGGCUUUGAAAAAGAGAGCCAACUGGAUUCCUUUUAUAAAGGUAGAAAUAAGUGAUUUAUUUUUCCCUUUUUGCUCUGUUGAUAAACUAUUGUAACUGCAAUUCAGAAUGUAGUAAGACGCUUUCCAGCCAUUUACUUUUAAAAUGACCCAGUAAUGACCCAUUUUUAUUUGUUUUGAAAAUUCCAAAACCAUGUCUAACUACUGUCAUAUACACGGGGUCUAUUUCUGAUUUCACUUCAGGCAAAAAAGUGAAUUAAAAUGAAUGUAAUGCAUAUACUUUAUUGUGUAUAUUGGCUUCUAUUCACAUACAACAUUUAAGUCCUAUUUAUAAAUUUUGCCCUGGCUUGUCUGUCAACCAGAUUAAGCCCAAACAAGAUCCCUGGCAGCAAAAGCUUUUGGCAAAACUGAAACAAUGGAAAAAAGUGGAUGAACUAUUGCAUCUUCAAUCAAAGUUUUUAGAGGUGAGUAAAUAGACUAUUUUAAAUAUAUUCUAUUUAUUUACCGAGUACUCUCAGGGA